Molecule: ribosomal RNA, 486 nt
Filed under: uncultured bacterium
Lineage: Bacteria
Description: partial 16S ribosomal RNA
Rfam family: Bacterial small subunit ribosomal RNA
Source: RNAcentral
AUUGAACGCUGGCGGCAUGCCUUACACAUGCAAGUCGAACGGCAGCACGGGUGCUUGCACCUGGUGGCGAGUGGCGAACGGGUGAGUAAUACAUCGGAACAUGUCCUGUAGUGGGGGAUAGCCCGGCGAAAGCCGGAUUAAUACCGCAUACGAUCCACGGAUGAAAGCGGGGGACCUUCGGGCCUCGCGCUAUAGGGUUGGCCGAUGGCUGAUUAGCUAGUUGGUGGGGUAAAGGCCUACCAAGGCGACGAUCAGUAGCUGGUCUGAGAGGACGACCAGCCACACUGGGACUGAGACAAGGCCCAGACUCCUACGGGAGGCAGCAGUGUGGAAUUUUGGACAAUGGGCGAAAGCCUGAUCCAGCAAUGCCGCGUGUGUGAAGAAGGCCUUCGGGUUGUAAAGCACUUUUGUCCGGAAAGAAAUCCUUGACUCUAAUACAGUCGGGGGAUGACGGUACCGGAAGAAUAAGCACCGGCUAACUACGUG